Long non-coding RNA from Salvelinus fontinalis (brook trout), 604 nucleotides. RefSeq lists it as uncharacterized. The record is from RefSeq and is a predicted model, not a curated record. The transcript is spliced from 2 exons. Lineage: Eukaryota; Metazoa; Chordata; Actinopteri; Salmoniformes; Salmonidae.
UAUGCUGCUAACGACAAUGUGCAUUUGGUUCCUGUUGCCUACUGUAAUAACUAACGUUAACUAACUAAUAAUCUGUUUCAUUUUGUGCCACAGCCUGGUUUUCGAAAACAUCUGGGACAUCUUGAAAAGAAGAAAGAUUACAAACUUCGUGCAGAUGACUACCACAAGAAACAGAACACCCUUGCUGCUUUGUGUAAAAAAGCCUUGGACAAGAACCCUGAUGAGUAAGUCAUCACUCAGGGGAUGUUACUUAGCCUGGCCCCAGGUCUGUGCUGUCUUGUCAACUCCUCUGGUCAUUGUCAAGCCAAACACAAUGGAGUAAGACCGCACAGGUCUGGGACCAGGUUAUACAAGAGUAGCCAGGUCCCAGAUCUUUUUGUGCACUUGCCAACUCUAUUGCUUAUUGUCAAGCGUGAUAAUCAGUUGGCAUGAUGGCACAAACAGACUGACACUCGGGCUAAUACAAUAGCUAGCCUAUAUAUGGUCAUUUCAUGUUUGACUGUUUUACCAUGUCCAUAUUUCAUCCUUGCUUCCAUCCAAAACGUGAUUUAUUAAUGGUUGUGCCAUUUCUGCAGUCUGAUAAUAAAAUCCCCUCUCAUCUCUG